UACGGGGGGAGCAAGCGUUGUUCGGAUUUACUGGGCGUAAAGGGCGCGUAGGCGGCACCGCAAGUCGACUGUGAAAUCUCCGGGCUUAACCCGGAAAGGUCAGCCGAUACUGCGGGGCUAGAGUGCAGAAGGGGCAACUGGAAUUCUCGGUGUAGCGGUGAAAUGCGUAGAUAUCAGGAAGAACACCCGUGGCGAAGGCGGCUCUCUGGGACGGUACUGACGCUGAGACGCGAAAGCGUGGGGAGCGAACAGG
RNAcentral lists this ribosomal RNA (253 nucleotides) under uncultured bacterium. Its description in RNAcentral is "partial 16S ribosomal RNA". It matches the Rfam family "Bacterial small subunit ribosomal RNA", at positions 524 to 776 of the family's 1533-position model. The record is from RNAcentral.